RNAcentral lists this ribosomal RNA (708 nucleotides) under uncultured bacterium. RNAcentral describes it as "bacterial SSU rRNA". It matches the Rfam family "Bacterial small subunit ribosomal RNA", at positions 8 to 708 of the family's 1533-position model. The record is from RNAcentral.
AGAGUUUGAUCCUGGCUCAGAUUGAACGCUGGCGGCAUGCUUUACACAUGCAAGUCGAACGGUAACGCGGGGGCAACCCUGGCGACGAGUGGCGAACGGGUGAGUAAUACAUCGGAACAUGUCCUGGAGUGGGGGAUAGCUCGGCGAAAGCCGGAUUAAUACCGCAUACGCUCUGAGGAGGAAAGCGGGGGACUCGCAAGGGCCUCGCGCUGCAGGAGUGGCCGAUGUCGGAUUAGCUAGUUGGUGAGGUAAAGGCUCACCAAGGCGACGAUCCGUAGCUGGUCUGAGAGGAUGAUCAGCCACACUGGGACUGAGACACGGCCCAGACUCCUACGGGAGGCAGCAGUGGGGAAUUGUUCGCAAUGGGCGCAAGCCUGACGACGCAACGCCGCGUGGAGGAUGAAGAUUUUCGGAUCGUAAACUCCUGUCGAAUGGGACGAAAAGGUCGCGGUCUAAUAUCCCGUGAUCCUGACGGUACCGUUAAAGGAAACCCCGGCUAACUCCGUGCCAGCAGCCGCGGUAAUACGGGGGGGGUAAGCGUUGUUCGGAAUUACUGGGCGUAAAGGGCUCGUAGGCGGCCAACUAAGUCAGACGUGAAAUCCCUCANCUUAACUGGGGAACUGCGUCUGAUACUGGAUGGCUUGGAUUCGGGAGAGGAAUGCGGAAUUCCAGGUGUAGCGGUGAAAUGCGUANAUAUCUGGAGGAACC